Molecule: non-coding RNA, 396 nt
Organism: Xenopus laevis (African clawed frog)
Lineage: Eukaryota; Metazoa; Chordata; Amphibia; Anura; Pipidae
Source: the annotation of a RefSeq genome assembly
AUGGUGAAAAUCUCUAAAGCUGUUCUUUCUUCUUCAGCAGGAAUCUACGGACAGUCAAUAAAUCAGACACCGCACCCUCAGCUCAUUACCAUUGGAGAACCUGUGUAUUUGGAAUGUACCUACAAAGUAUCUUCCACACCUUAUCUCUUUUGGUACAUCCACUACCCAGGCAAAGCUCCAGAAAUGUUAUUGAGUGAACUUACACAGAAAACACAGAAAGGAUUUUCAGCUUUGCACAAUAAACAGAAAACAUCCUAUCACAUGACUAAAGAGAGAGCAGAACUAGAGGAUUCAGGGGUAUAUUUCUGUGCUGUGAGUGACACAAUGACUGAAGCAGUUAGCUCAUAUGUCACACAACAUGUGCAGCCUCUGACAGCUUAUGCUAUUGUUAUCUAG